Molecule: ribosomal RNA, 486 nt
Filed under: uncultured bacterium
Lineage: Bacteria
Description: partial 16S ribosomal RNA
Rfam family: Bacterial small subunit ribosomal RNA
Source: RNAcentral
AUUGAACGCUGGCGGCAUGCCUUACACAAGCAAGUCGAACGGCAGCACGGGUGCUUGCACCUGGUGGCGAGUGGCGAACGGGUGAGUAAUACAUCGGAACAUGUCCUGUAGUGGGGGAUAGCCCGGCGAAAGCCGGAUUAAUACCGCAUACGAUCUACGGAUGAAAGCGGGGGACCUUCGGGCCUCGCGCUAUAGGGUUGGCCGAUGGCUGAUUAGCUAGUUGGUGGGGUAAAGGCCUACCAAGGCGACGAUCAGUAGCUGGUCUGAGAGGACGACCAGCCACACUGGGACUGAGACACGGCCCAGACUCCUACGGGAGGCAGCAGUGGGGAAUUUUGGACAAUGGGCGAAAGCCUGAUCCAGCAAUGCCGCGCGUGUGAAGAAGGCCUUCGGGUUGUAAAGCACUUUUGUCCGGAAAGAAAUCCUUGGCCCUAAUACGGUCGGGGGAUGACGGUACCGGAAGAAUAAGCACCGGCUAACUACGUG